This 433-nucleotide ribosomal RNA is filed under the name uncultured bacterium. RNAcentral's name for it is "partial 16S ribosomal RNA". It matches the Rfam family "Bacterial small subunit ribosomal RNA", at positions 29 to 507 of the family's 1533-position model. The record is from RNAcentral.
AACGAACGCUGGCGGCAGGCUUAACACAUGCAAGUCGAGCGAGACCUUCGGGUCUAGCGGCGGACGGGUGAGUAACGCGUGGGAACGUGCCCUUCUCUACGGAAUAGCCCCGGGAAACUGGGAGUAAUACCGUAUACGCCCUUUGGGGGAAAGAUUUAUCGGAGAAGGAUCGGCCCGCGUUGGAUUAGGUAGUUGGUGGGGUAAUGGCCCACCAAGCCGACGAUCCAUAGCUGGUUUGAGAGGAUGAUCAGCCACACUGGGACUGAGACACGGCCCAGACUCCUACGGGAGGCAGCAGUGGGGAAUCUUAGACAAUGGGGGCAACCCUGAUCUAGCCAUGCCGCGUGAGUGAUGAAGGCCUUAGGGUUGUAAAGCUCUUUCAGCUAGGAAGAUAAUGACGGUACCAGCAGAAGAAGCCCCGGCUAACUCCGUG